CCUACGGGGGGCUGCAGUGAGGAAUAUUGGUCAAUGGACGCAAGUCUGAACCAGCCAAGUAGCGUGCAGGAUGACUGCCCUAUGGGUUGUAAACUUCUUUUAUACGGGGAUAAACCGAGUCACGUGUGCCUUAUUGCAUGUACUUUAUGAAUAAGGAUCGGCUAACUCCGUGCCAGCAGCCGCGGUAAUACGGAGGGUCCGGGCGUUAUCCGGAUUUAUUGGGUUUAAAGGGAGCGUAGGUGGCUUCUUAAGUGUGUUGUGAAAGGUCGCGGCUCAACCGUAAAACUGCAAUUGAUACUGGCAGUCUUGAGUACAGUUGAGGUAGGCGGAAUUCGUGGUGUAGCGGUGAAAUGCUUAGAUAUCACGAAGAACCCCGAUUGCGAAGGCAGCCUACCAAACUGUUACUGACAUUGAGGCUCGAAGGUGUGGGUAUCAAACAGGAUUAGAUACCCCUGUAGUC
This 460-nucleotide ribosomal RNA is filed under the name uncultured bacterium. Its description in RNAcentral is "partial 16S ribosomal RNA". It matches the Rfam family "Bacterial small subunit ribosomal RNA", at positions 338 to 795 of the family's 1533-position model. The record is from RNAcentral.